GGGAGGGGCUGGCAUCUGGUGUUAAUACAAGGAGAAAGAAGCAAGGAGAGUGGUUUUCUACACAACCUUCUAGGAAGGAAGGAGGUAACAGAUGUUCAUUGUGACGUGAAUGUAAUUUCAGUACCUGCAGAGGAGAAAUGACGACCGGAGCCACCCGAGCUUAAAGUGGGAGCUCUCCACAAGAUGGCAAUGUAACACCACGCAUUCUGUCCUCUGGAAGACGUCCUCUGCUUGGGGCUUCCUUCAUUCCAAGAAUGGUGCCAUUGGGUAUCUACACCCGUUGCAUGUGGAAGUGCAAGCCCAGCUUGGGUUGAGGUGAAUGCAGAUAGUCUGUCUGGUGGCUUUCUGCCAAGGUGACAUCAAGUCUUCAGAGAGAGAGCAAAGUCCAAUGAUGUGGCUUUGCCACUCCUGGUUGGCCGUGGGAAAAGACCUGCCAUGACCAUAUGGAGACACCAGGCAUGGAGCAGCAUAGAGGUGCUCUCUAGGGAAAACUGUAGUAUUUUAAGAUAUAGACUCUGUUAUCUUUGUAAUACUGAAUUGUACUUUAUUGAACAAAUAAUCUUACUGCAGUAUACGGAAUAUCUGUGAAGCACAAGGCCACCACGACGUGAAUGAACUUGCCAAAAAGUCUGUGUUGUCUUAUACUGCUUCCUGUUAACUUAAAAGCAGCUGGGAAAGAUGCUAGCUGAAAAUGAGAUGUGAUCAUCAAUAAGUUGUUUUUAUCUAUUUAAACCUAGCAACAAUAACAAAAAAAGUGCAAACGAAAGAUGCAUAACACUAGCUUCCUUCUGUAACACAGGCCAGGAUUUUGUGAAUUAUCCCCAGAUUUCAGUCACUUCCCCUAUGGCUUCUGUUCUGUCUCUUACAAUAAAUAUUUGCUCGCCAACUUCUUUGAACAGCGAAAGCAAGCCAAGCCAGUCCUGGAAGGGGCUGAGCUGUGUUUGUUGUACUAUGUUUUGGGAAGCCCUUUUUUGAUAUGUGUUGAUAUACUUUACCCCCUUAAUUCUCUUUAUCCUUUUGGGGGAUCUCUGCUUGCCCUUUAGUUGAUUCCUUGAGGAAUGCUCCUAGAAAAUCUAAGGCAGUCAAGGGCAGAAGUAAGAAUGAUGAGUAAGCAGCUCUUCAUCUGUUCAGAGAAAGGACUGUGUCAGAAACUGAACUGUCUUGUUGUCACUAUGAAGUUGUGUUGUCUUCCGAAGUACCAGGUGUUGGUCAUGGCUGGAAAGAGGAGAGCAGAUUAAAUGGAUCCAAUGGACUGAUCUGGUAUGGCAAGCUUUAAGCUCUUUGAAGCCUAUGAGGACAUUUCCAUUUCCAAACCACAAAUUAUUUCCAGAAACUGGGAAACAAGAGGAGGGGAACAAGAGGAAGGAAAACUUGCACAUGGCAAGCUCAACAGACAAAAAAAAUCCUUUACAAUGAAGUCAUUGGACAGAAAGUAAACUGCCCACAAGCCCUUUUACCAGAAGAGUUUGGAUCAAGAGUCCAGUGAAUAAGGGGAUUAUAUGUAACACAUACGUAUGAAGUGUCGGGGCAAUAAAGAGGAAUUGUCUAUAUGUUGGUCUCAAAACUUCCACUGAACCCUUCAGUGCGCGAGUCAGUCACAGAGAAGAUCAGUGUAUGUGGUCCUUGUUCCAGAGCCAGGUUAAAGGAAAGGUGGAACUUUUCACAGAAAAUAGUUAAAACUUUGCUUUAUCAGGCUUGCUUUUUGCUAAACUUUGCUUAUCUUGUGCAAUGGUUCCUGGCUCCUUCAUACGGCCUUCACCUUUGAAUACUAUUGAUUAACUAGUACCUGGUUUGCCAUAUGAUCCGAGUUUCUCUUACAUCUUUCUCUUCUUUAUCUACUGGAGUUGACUCUUUUAACCCUUUGACUGGGAACUUUGUCACUUACCUGAUGACUGGCAGCUGUUCUGUACAGCUUUAUGUCGAGGAAGCAAGUGAGAGACUGAAGAUUCUCAAAGUAAAAGCCAAACUCCUUUAAACUGUUAAAGCUCUGAAUUCUUUGUCUUGCAGUAGCAUCUAGAAGGCGUGUUUCAGCUAGGAGGGUGGGCCUGCUGUGCAAGGCACAGGACCAGCACGUAACCAGAGGGCUGCUCCUGCCCUAAAGAACUUGCAGCCUCAAUAGAAAACAGAAAGAAUGAGAGGCACAAAGAAAAGAGAGGACUUGGCCAAGAUGAUUGAGCAGUAAAUCAGUGGCAGGACUUUGAAGAGUUCCCUUGAGUCCUAAUCUGGUGACCUUUCUAGUGGGGCAAGCUGCCUCUGGCUUUUCACUGAAGUGUGCAAAGCAUUGGCUUUUAAUUUGCAAAUAGAUUAGAGCAUACAGCAUCACAUGCCAAAAACUUCAGCGGGAAGUUAAUGUUGCCUAAUGGUGUCUUGUAUUGUUCCAGAAUGCAUGAAGGAUUAAUCCUGAGCAGGAAGUGAGAAAUUAAUGCUAAUUUAAACUUCUGAAAAGUAGGAAAUAUACAGGUACGAUCAAAAUAACCUUAGCUCUGUCCUCUUCCAGCGUUGUCACUAUGCAUGUUCAGAUACACAGAAUCUCAUAGAAAUUCAAGAAAUGAGGCACAUGAAAACAAUAAGUGUAAUACAUUUUCUCUGAGCAUAUCCCAUCAGGACAAAUGGGGCAGGCAGCAGAAUGCUCAUUCCCAUUAAGAUCUGAGAAUGGCAGAUUUGAUGCCCUUGAGUCUUGAGGUGCGUGUGCUCCUCUGUGUCACCUCUUGCGAGGGCAAUCUAGUUCUGAAAUUCAUCCUUUGGCUCAGCCUGUGGGGUGUUUCAUCCCAAAGGAACUCUGAGCUCAUAAAUGUUUUGAUGCUGGCCGCUGGUCUUUUAGUGGUGAGGCCAGAGCAUCCGUGGUGGAAUGUGAUUUCCAUUUCAGAUGGCCAUAAUCUCAAAACAGUUUCACGUGGUGCCCGACCAUGGUUUCUCAGAUGGUGUUGACAAUUGUCUGGACAUUGCUCUCAGUUAUGUGGCCUGAUUUUGGGGUGGUCCUAUGUAGAGUCAGGAGUUGGACUCCUUAUGAAUCCCUUCCAACGCAGGGGAUUCUGGGAUUGUAUGUUAUUUUUUCUUCAUAGUCAUUUUCUAUAAGUCCAUAGAUUUUAAGACUGGGAAGAUAUUGCUAGACUGUCUGACCUCAUCUAUACCAACCUUCAAACUUCUGAUUCAGCUGUACUGAGCCAAAUACUCUGAAACUGU
Molecule: long non-coding RNA, 3183 nt
Organism: Lagopus muta (rock ptarmigan)
Lineage: Eukaryota; Metazoa; Chordata; Aves; Galliformes; Phasianidae
Exons: 3
Source: RefSeq, a predicted model, not a curated record